Molecule: long non-coding RNA, 827 nt
Organism: Globicephala melas (long-finned pilot whale)
Lineage: Eukaryota; Metazoa; Chordata; Mammalia; Artiodactyla; Delphinidae
Source: RefSeq, a predicted model, not a curated record
ACCAAUAAGAUAUGGCGGAAGUACACUGUGCCAAUUCCAGACCAACGCCUUGAGAAGCCAGGCAGGUUUCGCAGUCUGAGGAACGAAACCUGUUCUUCCUGUGCUGCCGUGUAGAGUUUCAGCUACCCUGCUGUGAAAAGCCCCUUGGAGAGGCCACAUGGUAAAGGGAGAAGCCCUGAGGUUACUUGGACAGGGAGAGCAAAACCCAGAUGUCCCUGCAUCCCAGCUGAGACCAUCCUCCAGGAAAAACACUGGCCCAAUACAGCCGCACAAAAAAUCAUCAGCAAGACCAGCGGAAGAACCGCCCAGACAAUCCUAGCCAAGAAUGUGGAACGGAUGGCUAUUCAUCCCAAUUUGCCUGAGAAUGAAGGCGUUUCCAGGACACAGGACUUACAGUGCUAAAACCAGGAAAGUCCUGGGGAAACUGCAAGAGUUGGUCACCUUCUUUCCAACAUCUCAACUAAACAGGAGUUUACUUCAGAGCAAAAUGCAAUCGUAUUCACACAGUUUGGGAGCUUACUGAAGGGGAAGCUAGAGAAGAGAUCUGGUCGUCUGUUAAUUCCUUAUUCUUCAUUUCUACUUCUUUGAUCUAUGGAAAGAACCAACACAUCAGGCAAGGUAUUGUGUGAUCAAAAGAUUUGAAAGGUGUGCUUGGUCCAGAGGUGAGUAGAACAUGGGGGGUGCCUGGUUUAACGUUAGUGUCAAGACAAAAGGGACCUCCUGCAGGGAGCCCUUUCCUGCAAAGAGUUCUUUCCUCCCAAAAGCUGCUUACAAAAUGUUAAAUUAUAUUUAAUGAUUAUUCAGGUAAAGUUCAGAAAAAGCAUCAC